UGAACCGUGAGUCAUCAGAUUUUUGAACGCAACUGGCGCCGACUGGCUCUCCAGUCGGCAUGCUUGUUUCAGUGUCUCUUUCUCUCCUCACCCAAAUCCUUAUGCUACGGAUGCCCUUCUCUCGCUAAGCACGAACAGCACUCUGCGCUCUGCAGGCGGCUUCUUAGGCAUGUCGCACUCAAUGCAGCAGUCUCAUGGUAAAAUGUGAACUCAUUGAGACUUGAGGCAGCGCAGCCUAGCUGCCAGUGCUUAGUCACACAAACUUUACUUGCAUCUGAAAUCAAGCAGGAUCACCCGCUGAACUUAAGCAUAUCAAUAAGCGGAGGAA
Molecule: ribosomal RNA, 328 nt
Filed under: uncultured soil eukaryote
Lineage: Eukaryota
Description: eukaryotic LSU rRNA
Rfam family: 5.8S ribosomal RNA (bases 1-77)
Source: RNAcentral